AACGCGAAGAACCUUACCUGGGCUCGAACGGCUUAAGAACAUCUUUGGAAACAGGGACUUCCCGCAAGGGACUUGAGUCGAGGUGCUGCAUGGCUGUCGUCAGCUCGUGUCGUGAGAUGUUGGGUUAAGUCCCGCAACGAGCGCAACCCUUGUCCUGUGUUGCCACUCCCGUUAAACGGAAGCACUCGCAGGAGACCGCCAGCGAUAAGCUGGAGGAAGGUGGGGAUGAUGUCAAGUCAUCAUGGCCUUUAUGUCCAGGGCUACACACGUGCUACAAUGGCCGGUACAAAGCGCUGCAAACCCGCGAGGGGGAGCUAAUCGCAAAAAACCGGUCUCAGUUCGGAUCGCAGGCUGCAACUCGCCUGCGUGAAGCUGGAAUCGCUAGUAAUGGUGUAUCAGAACGAUACCGUGAAUACGUUCCCGGGCCUUGUACACACCGACGCAC
This 445-nucleotide ribosomal RNA is filed under the name uncultured bacterium. Its description in RNAcentral is "bacterial SSU rRNA". It matches the Rfam family "Bacterial small subunit ribosomal RNA", at positions 958 to 1398 of the family's 1533-position model. The record is from RNAcentral.